This 432-nucleotide ribosomal RNA is filed under the name uncultured bacterium. Its description in RNAcentral is "partial 16S ribosomal RNA". It matches the Rfam family "Bacterial small subunit ribosomal RNA", at positions 338 to 795 of the family's 1533-position model. The record is from RNAcentral.
CCUACGGGAGGCUGCAGUGGGGAAUUUUGGACAAUGGGCGCAAGCCUGAUCCAGCCAUGCCGCGUGCGGGAAGAAGGCCUUCGGGUUGUAAACCGCUUUUGGGAACCGCGCGGUACCUGCAGAAUAAGCACCGGCUAACUACGUGCCAGCAGCCGCGGUAAUACGUAGGGUGCAAGCGUUAAUCGGAAUUACUGGGCGUAAAGCGUACGCAGGCGGCUUUGCAAGACAGGUGUGAAAUCCCCGGGCCUAACCUGGGAACUGCAUUUGUGACUGCAUAGCUAGAGUCUGUCAGAGGGGGGUGGAAUUCCACGUGUAGCAGUGAAAUGCGUAGAGAUGUGGAAGAACACCGAUGGCGAAGGCAGCCCCCUGGGAUAAACUGACGCUCAUGUACGAAAGCGUGGGGAGCAAACAGGAUUAGAUACCCUGGUAGUC